CCGCGCUCGGACCGGGCGGGAGGUGAGUGCUGAGGCGAGCCGGGUCCUGAGGGGAGCCGGGCACCCUCCGCCCCGGCGCUGCCCGCGGGAACGGCGCUGGCACGCUGCCGCUGGAGACUGGGAAUCUCCCUCUGCCUUCCCUCUUUCCUCCCCCCGCACCGUGAGGCAGCAGGAGCAGCCAUCGCCGUGGAGGCUGUGGGAGCGCAGCCUCAGCCUUGGCUGCGGGGACGGUCGGGGUUCGCCCGCCUGCCCCUCGGGUGCCUCGUCCCGCUGCCCGUGGGGUGACUUGUGCCUCGUCCCCCUGCCCCUGGGUAACCUGUGGCUCGUCUCACAGCCCCCGGGGUGCCUUGUCCCCCUGCCCCGAGGUGUCGGUGCGGGGACAGAGGUGAACCCGCUGUGGGGAGCGGGGCCGGGGCUGCGCCGAGACCCCGCCGGGAGGGUCAGGGCUGGGCUGUACUCGUGCUACAGAACGUGGCUCUGGGCUUAAGGGUGUCCUGCCCUCUUUAGAAAUAAAUAAAUAAAGGGACGAAAUGAUCUCCGUAAUGCGCUUAGAAAAGCAGACAACCUUUACAAGUUUCCACUCGCGGGAGGAGCGAAUCCCAAACCUUCCGCCGAGCCGGAAUUGAGGCCCCGCGCUUCGGCUGUGCGGUUCGUGCUCUGUGUCUUUGGACAAUUCUCAUUGACUCAGGGAAAGACAAAUCCCAAGCCACUAGCUAAGCAGAAUUCAGAAGCAAAUAUUUACAGAGGACAGACUUUGAGCCUGUGAUCACUGAUGUGCUGUAGAGGAGCUGCAGUCUUAGCAAAGACUUUUUCUUCCCACAGAAGGGGAAACAAAGAAAUAUUUUUCUUAUCUUUGACCUAAAAGGUCAUUAAACCUUUUUCUACUCCGUGUAAUAAAGAGAGUUUAUUGUAACAGGUGUUUACAGUUCUGAGAGCACUGUGUGUAAUGUCAUGUUAAGUACUGCAUU
Oenanthe melanoleuca is the source of this 968-nucleotide long non-coding RNA. RefSeq lists it as uncharacterized. The record is from RefSeq and is a predicted model, not a curated record. The transcript is spliced from 3 exons. NCBI's taxonomy places the organism in Eukaryota, Metazoa, Chordata, Aves, Passeriformes, Muscicapidae.